UGGGGAAUAUUGCACAAUGGGCGCAAGCCUGAUGCAGCCAUGCCGCGUGUGUGAAGAAGGCCUUCGGGUUGUAAAGCACUUUCAGCGGGGAGGAAGGCGAUAAGGUUAAUAACCUUGUCGAUUGACGUUACCCGCAGAAGAAGCACCGGCUAACUCCGUGCCAGCAGCCGCGGUAAUACGGAGGGUGCAAGCGUUAAUCGGAAUUACUGGGCGUAAAGCGCACGCAGGCGGUCUGUCAAGUCGGAUGUGAAAUCCCCGGGCUCAACCUGGGAACUGCAUUCGAAACUGGCAGGCUAGAGUCUUGUAGAGGGGGUAGAAUUCCAGGUGUAGCGGUGAAAUGCGUAGAGAUCUGGAGGAAUACCGGUGGCGAAGGCGGCCCCCUGGACAAAGACUGACGCUCAGGUGCGAAAGCGUGGGGAGCAAACAGG
RNAcentral lists this ribosomal RNA (428 nucleotides) under Chloroflexota bacterium. RNAcentral describes it as "Chloroflexi bacterium partial 16S ribosomal RNA". It matches the Rfam family "Bacterial small subunit ribosomal RNA", at positions 355 to 776 of the family's 1533-position model. The record is from RNAcentral. Lineage: Bacteria; Bacillati; Chloroflexota.